This 486-nucleotide ribosomal RNA is filed under the name uncultured bacterium. RNAcentral's name for it is "partial 16S ribosomal RNA". It matches the Rfam family "Bacterial small subunit ribosomal RNA", at positions 30 to 507 of the family's 1533-position model. The record is from RNAcentral.
AUUGAACGCUGGCGGCAUGCCUUACACAUGCAAGUCGAACGGCAGCACGGGUGCUUGCACCUGGUGGCGAGUGGCGAACGGGUGAGUAAUACAUCGGAACACGUCCUGUAGUGGGGGAUAGCCCGGCGAAAGCCGGAUUAAUACCGCAUACGAUCUACGGAUGAAAGCGGGGGCCCUUCGGGCCUCGCGCUAUAGGGUUGGCCGAUGGCUGAUUAGCUAGUUGGUGGGGUAAAGGCCUACCAAGGCGACGAUCAGUAGCUGGUCUGAGAGGACGACCAGCCACACUGGGACUGAGACACGGCCCAGACUCCUACGGGAGGCAGCAGUGGGGAAUUUUGGACAAUGGGCGAAAGCCUGAUCCAGCAAUGCGGCGUGUGUGAAGAAGGCCUUCGGGUUGUAAAGCACUUUUGUCCGGAAAGAAAUCCUUGGCCCUAAUACGGUCGGGGGAUGACGGUACCGGAAGAAUAAGCACCGGCUAACUACGUG